RNAcentral lists this transfer RNA (66 nucleotides) under Winkia neuii. It matches the Rfam family "tRNA". From Rfam's summary of the family: Transfer RNA (tRNA) molecules are approximately 80 nucleotides in length. Their secondary structure includes four short double-helical elements and three loops (D, anti-codon, and T loops). Further hydrogen bonds mediate the characteristic L-shaped molecular structure. tRNAs have two regions of fundamental functional importance: the anti-codon, which is responsible for specific mRNA codon recognition, and the 3' end, to which the tRNAs corresponding amino acid is attached (by aminoacyl-tRNA synthetases). tRNAs cope with the degeneracy of the genetic code in two manners: having more than one tRNA (with a specific anti-codon) for a particular amino acid; and 'wobble' base-pairing, i.e. permitting non-standard base-pairing at the 3rd anti-codon position. Lineage: Bacteria; Bacillati; Actinomycetota; Actinomycetes; Actinomycetales; Actinomycetaceae. The record is from RNAcentral. RNAcentral also lists the same sequence under 1 other name.
GAGUGUAGUUUAAUGGUAAAACCUCAGCCUUCCAAGCUGAUGACGCGGGUUCGAUUCCCGUCACUC